GAUGAACGCUGACAGAAUGCUUAACACAUGCAAGUCUACUUGAACUUCGGUUUGGGUGGCGGACGGGUGAGUAACGCGUAAAGAACUUGCCUCACAGUUAGGGACAACAUUUGGAAACGAAUGCUAAUACCUGAUAUUAUGAUUUUAGGGCAUCCUAAGAUUAUGAAAGCUAUAUGCGCUGUGAGAGAGCUAUGCGUCCCAUUAGCUAGUUGGAGAGGUAACGGCUCACCAAGGCGAUGAUGGGUAGCCGGCCUGAGAGGGUGAACGGCCACAAGGGGACUGAGACACGGCCCUUACUCCUACGGGAGGCAGCAGUGGGGAAUAUUGGACAAUGGACCAAAAGUCUGAUCCAGCAAUUCUGUGUGCACGAUGACGUUUUUCGGAAUGUAAAGUGCUUUCAGUUGGGAAGAAAAAAAUGACGGUACCAACAGAAGAAGUGACGGCUAAAUACGUGCCAGCAGCCGCGGUAAUACGUAUGUCACAAGCGUUAUCCGGAUUUAUUGGGCGUAAAGCGCGUCUAGGUGGUUAUGUAAGUCUGAUGUGAAAAUGCAGGGCUCAACUCUGUAUUGCGUUGGAAACUGCAUGACUAGAGUACUGGAGAGGUAAGCGGAACUACAAGUGUAGAGGUGAAAUUCGUAGAUAUUUGUAGGAAUGCCGAUGGGGAAGCCAGCUUACUGGACAGAUACUGACGCUAAAGCGCGAAAGCGUGGGUAGCAAACAGG
Molecule: ribosomal RNA, 722 nt
Filed under: uncultured Fusobacterium sp.
Lineage: Bacteria; Fusobacteriati; Fusobacteriota; Fusobacteriia; Fusobacteriales; Fusobacteriaceae
Description: bacterial SSU rRNA
Rfam family: Bacterial small subunit ribosomal RNA
Source: RNAcentral